UCACCUGUGGCCGCCUGGAGAACAAGCUCGAGCCCAUCAUCUUCGACCACGCUGAUGGGUCGGCAGCUCGCGGCAAUCCACUGAGCAAGGAGAUUAGUGAGCUUACUUGAUAGAGCUGCACUGAUGGGCUUGCCUCGGUUGCACUCAAACAUAGUAGUUUGACGAAAACUCUUCCCCUGCGCAACACUUGGCCCAGCAUCUUCCAACUUAGCUAAGGGAUGCUUUGCGUUUAGGUGGUACUUGAGACAGGAAGAACUUCUACAGUAAACAAAUUCCGCAUUGCACAAGGUGCAAACAACUUUAUUCUUGUCAAGGUUUCCAUUGGGAAGCUUCUUAAAAAUAAAUUUUCCCUGGAGCAAACCCAGCAGCUUCAUAGGUGCAUCCAUGUCGGCACGUCACGUUUGAAGAUUCCUCUGGCAUUAAAGAUGUUCUCUUUCGCGCAUAUACAUCCGCGCCUUAUAUGUCGAUGAUCCGCGCCAACCAGGUAUCCAUCCGCGCAAUGUGAAGAAUAGAUUAACGGCGUCUUUUUUUAUCACGCGAUAAGAGUCUAGCUUUGCCGCAGCACGUUAACGCCGAUAACGGCCCACCCUAAUAAUAUAUAUCCAUCCAUCCAUUUUCUUCCGCUUAUCCGUAGUCGGGUUGCAGGGACAGCAGCCUAAGUCAAGAGGCCCAGACUUCCCUCUCCCCAGCCACUUGAGCCAGCACUUGUGGGGGAAUCCCAAGGCGUUCCCUGGUCAGGUGAGAAACAUAAGGCGUGUUUCAUCUACAAGAACUUCUGGGUAGAUUUACAGGAACCUCCCCACAUGCGCGUGUCUCCACCUGAGCGGGCCGUCCGAACGGCCGUUUUCAGGAAUCUUCUGAGUACCUGCUCUGGAGUAGGUACUCCGAACGGCCCGGUGGAGUAGCUGAGCGGAACCUUUGGUUAACUCACGCUGAUUGGUUGUAACUUAGUAGGAAAUUACAUCAGCAGCUGUCCAAAACAACCGGCAGCAGUAAAAUUUGAAGAGUAGCUGGUGAAGCAGAAUGAAAGCCAAAACAAAAACAAAAAAAGCACAGAUCGCACUUAAAAUUUAACUCCUGACACCGGAAAUCUCGGUGGAAUGUCCCCACAGCUGUUGGGGAAAAUGGGGAAGCGGGUCUACUCUGAGCCCCUCCCAGAUGACCGAGUUUUUCACCCUAACAAUAUAUAUAUUGUGAUAUGUUCUUUUCAAACUCCCAUACCAGAUGAAUUACAGCAGAACAGCUAAUUCUGAAAAGUAUAGCAUGCCAUUUAAAUAAGAACAGGUCUUCUAAAUUACAAAAAAGAAACACAAAUAUGUUCGGGAAACCACAGAAUCUCUUCUCCUCUAGCAUAUCUGCUACUUACCACAUGGUCAGAUUUAUGGUGGUUUUUUCCUCCUGAAGGAAUGAUUUUAAGCUUGCUAAACUUCCAGCCAGGGAGGAGCCUAAAUUCAUAAGGUGAUGACGAGCAGGUUUGUGGAGUAAGGGCUCCCACUUAUGACGUGACUAGGAAGGCUUGCUCAGAAAAGGAAAUGUUCUCUCCCCUUUUUACACUUUCUAAUUUGCAAAUAGAGUAGAUCACACAUGGCUUUGGCAUUUAGGUGUGCUACUUUUGAUCACCCAAACUGUCUUUAUUCAACAGCAACAAGGAAAAUGUUGGUUUAGAGUCUUUAUCUCCUUUAAUGUUCAAAACUUGUUUAGAUAAAUACAUAAUGUCUCAAAUAGUUUUUAAAUUUGCGCAACAAGACAAUUCUCUUAUGAAUAAAUCUAAAAUACAACUAAAUGAGGUGAAAACGCUAAAUUCUAAAUUGUUUGGGUUUUUAAGUAAAAAAAAAAAUAAAAACUGAAAUAAUAUUGAUACACUUUUCCAAACCGAUUAUUGAAGCCCUUAACGCAGAGAAUGAGCUGAUCAGAAAGGCCAGGUCCCUGAUCGUCGUCUCCUGACGCGCUGGGGCGUCCCGAUUCAUCAUAUAUUUGAGGCGUGGUCACUAUAGACUGUACAUACUGGACAAACGGAUUCCAUUGGCUUCAAUAACACGUUUGUUGUCUAUAAUGGGAGGUGGCCACCACCGCCAUUUUGACCGUGUCACAGGUUCCGUCCAGCCCAGACAAUUCCAUAAAAGGGAAGAGAGGAGGCGCUGAGGGUGUGGCUGUAAGGCUGGGCUCGAGUGACGACACCCAGGCGAACUAGCUACGAGCUAACCUGAAGCUAACCCUGGCUAACCCAAAGCUAAAGCGGAGGUGGGAGCCGAGCUAACGGAUGUAGCCACCUAGCUUCAACCCAACCGGAGCUAACUGGAACACCCAUCGACCUGAACCUCACACGGAGUUUAGGUGGAGGUUUUCUGCGCCUGUUCGUGAGAAGUACCUGUAUUAAAAAAGUUUUAAAUUGGUAAGUUUAUAAUUUAUUUCCGUAAUGAAUACAUUUUGCUUUGAGCAAGUUUUCAGUACAGUUUUUUUCGGCGCUAUCACUCCUGAGUCGCACCAGCCAUUAAAUGUAUAAUGAAGAAGAGAAAAUAUAUUUAAGUCGUAUUUUGGGGGGACAUUUUAUUAUCUUUCUUACAAAAUCCGAGACCAAGCGUUUCACAUUGCAACACAAGCACCGGUAACCAUAACAGAAUGAACAGCCAGCAGAGGAGAGGAUGGCGGUGUUUCAAACCCUCCCGGCCGGCGUGUAGAGCUCAUUCCUGGGCUGGAGCCGGCCCUCAGCACCCCGCCACAGGCUCUAACAGAUGCUGGCGGUGUUUCAUAUAUUUCCAAAACGUAAUACUUGUUUGUAUCUUGUACAGCCAACUAGCCUUUAUUCUGGACUCAGUACAAUUUACCAAAAGUAAAGAGACAUUAUACAGAUGAAGUAAGCACAAGAUAACUUACUGGAAGACACAGAGUUAUCAUCAGAACCAGAACAAGAGAGCCUGAUAACAGUCAUGUGAAAAUAAGUUAAAAAGUAUGUAUGUAUAAUAGUAAUAAAAAUAUAUUAGAAUUAGUGUAACUCACUGUGAUCCAAACAAAUCAGCCAUAGCUGAUUAGUAAAUAUGACAUGAGGUCUGGGAGUUUUUAAGUUUCAUUCUUUUAUUACAUUUUUUUCUUAGAUCUAUUAAAAGGUCACCAUGGCAGCCUGUGUGUCAACGUCAGCUACACAAAGCAGCAAGUCCAUUUGGAUCAUUGGAGACAGCUGAGUGAGGCGUGGUGCCCAGAGAGCUGCAGAGACAACCUUGGCCUCCCUGACGUCUGUGUCUCUUGGUUUGGUUGGGGCGGACCAUCGACAUACAUACAUGUGCCGACACUUUGCGCCCUGUUUUAUAAACUGUAGUGUUAAAAAUAAAUGUUUUUGCUCAA
This is a non-coding RNA of Nothobranchius furzeri (turquoise killifish), 3339 nucleotides long. Lineage: Eukaryota; Metazoa; Chordata; Actinopteri; Cyprinodontiformes; Nothobranchiidae. The record is from RefSeq and is a predicted model, not a curated record.